GCGGGAUUGGCAUAUCGGUUGUGCACAGCCUUCCCAAGGCUGCUAGACGGGUUCGACUCCCGUAUCCCGCU
This 71-nucleotide transfer RNA is filed under the name Gemmataceae bacterium. Its description in RNAcentral is "tRNA-Gly". It matches the Rfam family "tRNA". From Rfam's summary of the family: Transfer RNA (tRNA) molecules are approximately 80 nucleotides in length. Their secondary structure includes four short double-helical elements and three loops (D, anti-codon, and T loops). The record is from RNAcentral. Lineage: Bacteria; Pseudomonadati; Planctomycetota; Planctomycetia; Gemmatales; Gemmataceae. RNAcentral also lists the same sequence under 1 other name.